RNAcentral lists this ribosomal RNA (627 nucleotides) under uncultured bacterium. Its description in RNAcentral is "bacterial SSU rRNA". It matches the Rfam family "Bacterial small subunit ribosomal RNA", at positions 900 to 1533 of the family's 1533-position model. The record is from RNAcentral.
CUUAAAGGAAUUGACGGGGGCCCGCACAAGCGGUGGAGCAUGUGGUUUAAUUCGAUGAUACGCGAGGAACCUUACCUGGGCUUAAAUGUAGGAUGCCAGUCCCCGAAAGGGGAUCUUCCUUCGGGACGUCUUACAAGGUGCUGCAUGGUUGUCGUCAGCUCGUGCCGUGAGGUGUCGGGUUAAGUCCCAUAACGAGCGCAACCCCUAUCAUUAGUUGCCAUCAGGUCAAGCUGGGGACUCUAAUGAAACUGCCUACGCAAGUAGUGAGGAAGGUGGGGAUGACGUCAAAUCAGCACGGCCCUUAUGUCCAGGGCUACACACGUGCUACAAUGGCCGGUACAGAGGGUCGCUACCUGGUGACAGGAUGCUAAUCUCAGAAAGCCGGUCUCAGUUCGGAUUGGAGUCUGCAACUCGACUCCAUGAAGCUGGAAUCGCUAGUAAUCGCACAUCAGCCAUGGCGCGGUGAAUACGUUCCCGGGCCUUGUACACACCGCCCGUCAAGCCAUGGAAGUUGGGGGUACCUAAGGUCGUAACCGCAAGGAGCGGGCUAUGGUAAAACCAAUGACUGGGCUAGUCGAACAAGGUAGGCGUACCGGAAGAGUGGCUGGAAUACCUCCUUUCUGGAGA